AGUCGAGCGGUAGCACAAGGGAGCUUGCUCCCUGGGUGACGAGCGGCGGACGGGUGAGUAAUGUCUGGGAAACUGCCUGAUGGAGGGGGAUAACUACUGGAAACGGUAGCUAAUACCGCAUAACGUCGCAAGACCAAAGAGGGGGACCUUCGGGCCUCUUGCCAUCAGAUGUGCCCAGAUGGGAUUAGCUAGUAGGUGGGGUAAUGGCUCACCUAGGCGACGAUCCCUAGCUGGUCCGAGAGGAUGACCAGCCACACUGGAACUGAAACACGGUCCAGACUCCUACGGGAGGCAGCAGUGGGGAAUAUUGCACAAUGGGCGCAAGCCUGAUGCAGCCAUGCCGCGUGUGUGAAGAAGGCCUUCGGGUUGUAAAGCACUUUCAGCGAGGAGGAAGGUGGCGAACUUAAUACAUUCAUCAAUUGACGUUACUCGCAGAAGAAGCACCGGCUAACUCCGUGCCAGCAGCCGCGGUAAUACGGAGGGUGCAAGCGUUAAUCGGAAUUACUGGGCGUAAAGCGCACGCAGGCGGUAUGUUAAGUCAGAUGUGAAAUCCUCGGGCUCAACCUGGGAACUGCAUUUGAAACUGGCAAGCUAGAGUCUCGUAGAGGGGGGUAGAAUUUCCAGGUGUAGCGGUGAAAUGCGUAGAGAUCUGGAGGAAUACCGGUGGCGAAGGCGGCCCCCUGCACGAAUACUGACGCUCAUGUGCGAAAGCGUGGAGAGCAAACAGGAUUAGAUACCCCUGCUAGUCCACGCUGUAACGAUGUCGAUUUGGAGGUUGUG
Molecule: ribosomal RNA, 780 nt
Filed under: uncultured bacterium
Lineage: Bacteria
Description: bacterial SSU rRNA
Rfam family: Bacterial small subunit ribosomal RNA
Source: RNAcentral